Molecule: long non-coding RNA, 488 nt
Organism: Anolis carolinensis (green anole)
Lineage: Eukaryota; Metazoa; Chordata; Lepidosauria; Squamata; Anolidae
Exons: 4
Source: RefSeq, a predicted model, not a curated record
GUGACGUUGACCAGAAUGAUGGUGUGAUCAAGGAUGGUAGCGGGAGGAAAGGGAAUUCCUUUUUUCCCCUUUCCCUUCCUGUUACCCCAGCCAAUUUCAUAGCAAGUGACAGCAGACAGGAAUUGACCUAUUGGGCCAGUCACUGCACCAAACCCCCAGCAAGGAAAAGGCAGGAGAAUUGUUCUUUUAUGGAGGACCCAUGCUGGCAGACUCAAAGCGGCUUCAAUAUCAGAAAUGUCUAUAGCUCUAAGUUAUGUUUUGUUCCUCUCUAUCAAAAAAAUUGGAUGUUUCUGGUCCAUUAGAAACCAUUACGUCUUUUAAAGAGAGAAACUGUCUACUUCAACAAAAGGGCUUUUGUCAGGAUUCUGGUCUUGAAUGAGGAUUAUGAAGAAGAGGGCUUUCUUCCAGCUGCUGAAUUCAGGACCAAUGCUGAGGAGUUACCUGAGCAGCCUGACACCUUGGAAUCCACUACUGCUAACAGGAGCCAG